GAAGCCUGCUCCUCCCUCUCCCACUCCCCCUGCUGGUGUUCCCUCUCUCGCUGUGUCUCUGCCAAAUAAAAUCUUAAAAAAAAGAGUAACAACCACAUUUCUAGCUUUUGAUGCAUGAGAAGAGCUGGAAACAGUUCGCUCAUGUUUACACUAGGCAACUGGUUCAAACUGAGAAGUGGGUGCCCCCCCUUAGGAGGACUGCACCCCCUGCUUCACCCUCCACUCCCGAGUCCUCCCUGUCUCUGAGCCUGAGGAUCAGCUGCCAUGCUUGUGCUGAUGUUUUUCCUGUAAGAGAAGCAGGUUUUGGUUCCUGUGUCUCUAUCAAAGUGCACAAAUGGAAGGUAAGCCAAGAGGCAUUCGGGUGUAAAGACACCAGCGACUAAGCACCCAGCCUCCGCGAACGUCCUCUUCUUUCCUGGACCCCAUAGCCAUUUGAAUUUUCCACUCAGGCCCUAAAGGAACCCUCAGAGAUUAAUGGCCUCACAGACUCUCAAAUGAACCUGAGGACUGUAUCUUUGCACCAUCUUCUCCAGUGAGUUACCUCCAUUCCACAAGGUCCUUGGCUCGGUCUCCUACCAUGUAAAAUCUUCCCUAACAACCAGCCAUCUAACCAACUCCAUCCAUCCCUCCAUCCAUUCCUGCAUCCAUCUCAUCAGCAUUUUUGGACGCCAGGCUGUGGGUUAGCUGUGUUAUGACCAAACCACCAUCAUUUCUCCCUCCUGUGGAUUUCUGUGACUCUCACUCAAUCAAUAUCUUAUACAAUGUCAUACACAUGGCAGGUGAUCGAUAAAUACUUAAUAACUAGGUAAGUGGCAUAGUCAUGCCCAUCUUAUCCCCCUAGUUCUGUUGUAAGAUCUCGGAGGGAGGGGUCCGGAUCAGAUCCAUCUUGGCACUGCCCUGGUGACCAGCACACUGCCUGGCACAUAGGAUCUGAGGAAAUACGUUCCAUAAGGAGGUGCCCCAGACAGGCAAUAGAUGCUGAGUUUCAGUCCAGUCCUGCGGUUGGAGGCGGCACCCCUGCUCCCCCCUCAACCCUGAGUGAUGCAGAGGAAUGGAGAGGCAGCCCCGAGAGAACAGAGAACAGAGGCCUUACUCAGUCCUGACAGUGAGGAGCACUUCACAGACCCCUCAACCUGGAGGCUCUGCUCGGGACUCAGCUGAAGCCGCGUCUAGGACCCAGCUGUAUCCAUGUGCCCUUGAACUCCUCCAGGAAGAAGACAGCCCAGACCGGGAGGAAAGCUACUCACACACUGUCUGCCAUCUCUGAAGUAGCCCAGGAAGGGGAAAAAAAUCACAAAAGAUCAGCGUUGAUUUCUUUUCCUCCUCAACAUUCCCUUUCUUUCUGAUUUUCUCUUAGACAGUAUCUCACUUCUUCAGUAUCGCGUGAGACUCACCUCUAUUUUGCCAUGUGUAUCCCCCCUCCGCCGAUGCCUUUUUAAAAGAUUUUUUAAGUCAUCUCUCCUUCCAAUGUGGGGCUUGAACUCACAACCCCAGGAUUAAGAGUGACACACUCCACCGACUGAGCCAGCCAGGCGCCCCUGUUACUGCUUUCUGGUGCCAUUCAAGACUUUUCCCUUCAUUCCUGGAACUUCUGGGCACAGAAAGUGAAGGAGGAUGAGCAGAGAGCAAUGUGAAUCGCUGACAAUAUGUAUACACGGUGAACAUUUUUAAAAAAUAUUUUAUUUAUUUAUCUGACAGAGAGAUAGCAAGAGCAGGAACACAAGCAGGGAGAGUGGGAGAGGGAGAAGCAGGGAGCCCGAUGCGGGGCUCGAUGCGGGGCUCGAUGCGGGGCUCGAUGCGGGGCUCGAUCCCAGGACCCUGGGAUCAUGACCUGAGCCGAAGGCAGACGCUUAACGACUGAGCCACCCAGGUGCCCCUACACGGUGAACAUUUACAAAGAAACUUCACACGUGUUAUCAAGGCUGCUUCGUAACUAGGAAGAACGAAAAGGGACCUUAGAGGACAUCGAGUCCGAUCCCCUUCACAGCGAAAUGAGGGAACAAGCCUACAAAUAGGAUGUGACUUGUUCAAGGUCACCCAGCAAGUGAGUGCCAGAGCUGGGGCCAGUUCUGGGUUUCCCAAUGCCUAUUCAUUUACACUUGCGGAAGCCAAAGCCCACAGAAGCCCGGGGACUUCGGUGAAGAAAAGGAUCUGUCCGACGGGGUUGGCUCCUUGGAGAUCAUCUACUGAAUCCAAUCCCUCUUUCAAUAGCGGUUUAGGCGAGAUGCCGGCCCUGGGCCGAGGUUUCUCGCAAUUUCCUGGCCCUGGAUCCAGACGGUACGGGCUGGACCGCAGCCUGAAUGAAUAACCGGGGAACCUGUGAUCGCAGGGUCCCGGGUGCUGAAGCACAUCUCCCCGCGCCGGCCUGGGGCGAUUACUCGGGGAAGGGCGCCUGUGUCCCGGCCUCUGAGGUUUCCUCGCCAGGCGGGAGCCUCGGAAUCUGGCCCCCGGCAGCUAACCGCUAGGGGAGUGGCGAGAGCCCGCUUGGGGGCGUGGCCCGAUAGUGGCGAGCCAAUCCCAAGCGGCGCCGUGAUAGGGGCGGGAAGCCCGCUUCCACACCCCGCCCAUUUUCUCUUCGCCGAGGGGUGAGGCUCCGCGGUGAUGUAGGCAACCGCCCGGGCGUCCUGCCCACCUGCUAAAGUUGCUACGUCCCGCCCCUCUUGGCACAAUCUUUCGGAAAGCGAAGUCCUUUUAAGGGGCAAAAGGACGGAGAUUUUGAUUGGUUGGCUGGAUGAAUGACCCUGGCGCUGGGAGAAGAGGAAUCACGCCCAGGUUGGACAAGAGGAGCCCGGGACGCACACUUUGCAGAAGCCGAGCAGAGAAAGGGCUUUGGUGAACUGAAAAUUCAGUGUUUCCAAUUCAAAGUAGUUGCCCACCUCCUAGGUGCGGGUGAAGGUAGUGGGAGUCCGAGAACCCCUGGGUCCUAUCACCUGAUAUUGUUAGUCAUACUUCUUAGUUGUAGUUUUGCGAGGAAUACAGGCAUUUAAAGUUUACAUUAAAAAAAAAAAGUUUACGUUUAACAUUUAUUGAGCACCUGCCACUGUGACAGACACUGUUCUAAGUUCUUGGACUCAGUGAACAAAACAGAUUUCUGCCUUCUUGUAGCUUAGACAAGGGAGACAAGACAUUGUGUAGUGUGCUAGAAGAUGGGACAAGGUUAUGGGGGGGGAAAGUACAGUAGUUCCUCUCACCUGUAGGUGUGUGUGUGUGUGUGUGAAUAUGUUCCAAGACCCCCAGUGGAUGCCUGAAACCCCAGAGAGUAUUGAACCUUACAUGUACUACGUUUUUUCCUAUUUAAUUUAUAAUUUAGGCAUAGUAAGAGAUUAACAACAACAAUAAUAAAAAGGAGCAAUUAUAACAAUAUACUGUAAUAAAAGUUAUGUGAAUGUGGUCUCUCUCUCUCAAAAUAUCUUAUUGUCCUGUACUCACCCUUCUUCUUAUGAUGAUGUGCCUCCAUGAUGAGCUGAAGUGAGGUGAAUGAGUAGGCAUUGCAAUGUAGACUACUACUGACCUUCAGAAGAAUUCUCUGUUUCCAGACUGUGGUUGACCGUGUGUAACUGAAACUGUGGAAAGUGAAACCAUGGCUAUGGGGGCACUACUGUAGAGCAAGGUAAAGGGAGCAAGUCUGGCCAGAUUACACACAAGUGAGAAAGUGAGAAUUGAAGGAGGAAAGAUGGUUCUGCUUCCACGGCCUCUCUGGUGGAAGAGCAUGGCAGGCAGAAGGAACAGCUGACGGGUGUUACUGAAGA
Zalophus californianus (California sea lion) is the source of this 3749-nucleotide long non-coding RNA. RefSeq lists it as uncharacterized. The transcript is spliced from 3 exons. The record is from RefSeq and is a predicted model, not a curated record. Lineage: Eukaryota; Metazoa; Chordata; Mammalia; Carnivora; Otariidae.